RNAcentral lists this ribosomal RNA (322 nucleotides) under uncultured bacterium. RNAcentral describes it as "bacterial SSU rRNA". It matches the Rfam family "Bacterial small subunit ribosomal RNA", at positions 495 to 816 of the family's 1533-position model. The record is from RNAcentral.
AGCACUGUAGGUGUCAGCCGCCGCGGUAAUACGUAGGUGGCAAGCGUUAUCCGGAUUUAUUGGGCGUAAAGCGAGCGCAGGCGGUUACUUAAGUCUGAUGUGAAAGCCUUCGGCUUAACCGAAGAAGUGCAUCGGAAACUGGGUGACUUGAGUGCAGAAGAGGACAGUGGAACUCCAUGUGUAGCGGUGGAAUGCGUAGAUAUAUGGAAGAACACCAGUGGCGAAGGCGGCUGUCUGGUCUGCAACUGACGCUGAGGCUCGAAAGCAUGGGUAGCGAACAGGAUUAGAUACCCUGGUAGUCCACACCGUAAACGAUGGAUAC